Molecule: microRNA precursor, 136 nt
Filed under: Hordeum vulgare
Lineage: Eukaryota; Viridiplantae; Streptophyta; Magnoliopsida; Poales; Poaceae
Description: microRNA MIR1122
Rfam family: MIR1120/MIR1122 microRNA precursor family
Source: RNAcentral
GAAAUACUCCCUCCGUCCCAAAAUUCUUGUCUUAGAUUUGUCUAAAUACGAAUGUAUGUAGUCACAUUUUAGUAUUUAGAUACAUCCAUUUUUAAACAAACUUAAGAUAAGAAAUUUGGGACAGAGGUAGUAUGAA